CAGUCGCCGCGGGAAAACGAAGGGUGCAAGCGUUACUCGGAAUUACUGGGCGUAAAGCGUGCGUAGGCGGCUUCUUAAGUCGGAUGUGAAAUCCCUGAGCUUAACUUAGGAAUUGCAUUCGAUACUGGGAAGCUAGAGUAUGGGAGAGGAUGGUAGAAUUCCAGGUGUAGCGGUGAAAUGCGUAGAGAUCUGGAGGAAUACCGAUGGCGAAGGCAGCCAUCUGGCCUAAUACUGACGCUGAGGUACGAAAGCAUGGGGAGCAAACAGGAUUAGAUACCCGCGUAGUCCCUGUCUCUUAUAC
This 301-nucleotide ribosomal RNA is filed under the name uncultured bacterium. RNAcentral's name for it is "partial 16S ribosomal RNA". It matches the Rfam family "Bacterial small subunit ribosomal RNA", at positions 509 to 807 of the family's 1533-position model. The record is from RNAcentral.